AAGCAGUAACAGGACUCGAACCUGUGACGGCGGAAUCAAAAUCCGCAGUGUUGCCAACUACACCAUACUGCU
Molecule: transfer RNA, 72 nt
Filed under: Vibrio phage 1.046.O._10N.286.52.E3
Lineage: Duplodnaviria; Heunggongvirae; Uroviricota; Caudoviricetes
Description: tRNA-Gln
Source: RNAcentral